RNAcentral lists this ribosomal RNA (475 nucleotides) under Neoscytalidium dimidiatum. RNAcentral's name for it is "partial 28S ribosomal RNA". It matches the Rfam family "Eukaryotic large subunit ribosomal RNA", at positions 109 to 586 of the family's 3401-position model. Lineage: Eukaryota; Fungi; Ascomycota; Dothideomycetes; Botryosphaeriales; Botryosphaeriaceae. The record is from RNAcentral.
UCAAAUUUGAAAGCUGGCCCCCCCCGGGGGUCCGCGUUGUAAUUUGUAGAGGAUGAUUCGGCGAGGGCUCCCGCCUAAGUCCCCUGGAACGGGGCGUCAUAGAGGGUGAGAAUCCCGUAUGCGGUGGGCUGCCUUAGCCAUGUGAAUCUCCUUCGACGAGUCGAGUUGUUUGGGAAUGCAGCUCUAAAUGGGAGGUAAAUUUCUUCUAAAGCUAAAUACCGGCCAGAGACCGAUAGCGCACAAGUAGAGUGAUCGAAAGAUGAAAAGCACUUUGGAAAGAGAGUUAAAAAGUACGUGAAAUUGUUGAAAGGGAAGCGCUUGCAGCCAGACUUGCCCGCAGUUGCUCAGCCGGUCUCCUGACCGGCGCACUCUUCUGCGGCCAGGCCAGCAUCAGUUCGGGCGGUCGGAUAAAGGCCCCGGGAACGUAGCUCCUCUCGGGGAGUGUUAUAGCCCGGGGUGGAAUGCGGCCAGCCUG